CGCGUAUGCAACCUACCUUGUACUGAGGGAUAGCCCGAAGAAUUCGGAUUAAUACCUCAUAGUAUUUAGCGAUCACAUGAUCAUUAAAUUAAAGAUUACGGUACAAGAUGGGCAUGCGUCCUAUUAGCUAGUUGGUGAGGUAAUGGCUCACCAAGGCGACGAUCUCUAGCUGGUCUGAGAGGAUGAUCAGCCACACUGGAACUGAGACACGGGUCCAGACUCCUACGGGAGGCAGCAGUGGGGAAUAUUGCACAAUGGGCGCAAGCCUGAUGCAGCCAUGCCGCGUGUGUGAAGAAGGCU
RNAcentral lists this ribosomal RNA (300 nucleotides) under uncultured bacterium. RNAcentral describes it as "bacterial SSU rRNA". It matches the Rfam family "Bacterial small subunit ribosomal RNA", at positions 114 to 416 of the family's 1533-position model. The record is from RNAcentral.